GUCAGUUUGGCCGAGUGGUCUAAGGUGCCAGACUCAAGUUCUGGUAGAGAAAUCCGCGUGGGUUCGAACUCCACAGCUGACA
RNAcentral lists this transfer RNA (82 nucleotides) under Perkinsus marinus ATCC 50983. It matches the Rfam family "tRNA". Rfam says of the family: Transfer RNA (tRNA) molecules are approximately 80 nucleotides in length. The record is from Rfam by way of RNAcentral. Lineage: Eukaryota; Perkinsozoa; Perkinsida; Perkinsidae.